RNAcentral lists this ribosomal RNA (253 nucleotides) under uncultured bacterium. RNAcentral's name for it is "partial 16S ribosomal RNA". It matches the Rfam family "Bacterial small subunit ribosomal RNA", at positions 524 to 776 of the family's 1533-position model. The record is from RNAcentral.
UACAGAGGUGGCAAGCGUUGUUCGGAAUUACUGGGCGUAAAGGGCGCGUAGGCGGUCCUGUAAGUCCCGCGUGAAAUCCCCCGGCUCAACUGGGGAACUGCGCGGGAAACUGUGGGGCUUGAGUUCGGGAGAGGGAAGCGGAAUUCCGGGUGUAGCGGUGAAAUGCGUAGAUAUCCGGAGGAACACCGGUGGCGAAGGCGGCUUCCUGGACCGACACUGACACUGAGGAGCGAAAGCCAGGGGAGCAAACGGG